This 301-nucleotide ribosomal RNA is filed under the name uncultured bacterium. RNAcentral describes it as "partial 16S ribosomal RNA". It matches the Rfam family "Bacterial small subunit ribosomal RNA", at positions 509 to 807 of the family's 1533-position model. The record is from RNAcentral.
CAGCCGCCACGGUAAUACGAAGGGGGCUAGCGUUGUUCGGAUUAACUGGGCGUAAAGGGCGCGUAGGCGGGUUUUUAAGUCAGAGGUGAAAUCCCAAGGCUCAACCUUGGAACUGCCUUUGAUACUGGAAGUCUUGAGUCCGGGAGAGGUGAGUGGAACUGCGAGUGUAGAGGUGAAAUUCGUAGAUAUUCGCAAGAACACCGAUGGCGAAGGCAGCCUCCUGGGCCAAUACUGACGCUCAUGCACGAAAGCGUGGGGAGCAAACAGGAUUAGAUACCCCAGUAGUCCCUGUCUCUUAUAC